RNAcentral lists this ribosomal RNA (492 nucleotides) under uncultured bacterium. RNAcentral's name for it is "partial 16S ribosomal RNA". It matches the Rfam family "Bacterial small subunit ribosomal RNA", at positions 29 to 507 of the family's 1533-position model. The record is from RNAcentral.
AGUGAACGCUGGCGGUAGGCCUAACACAUGCAAGUCGAACGGCAGCACAGUAAGAGCUUGCUCUUACGGGUGGCGAGUGGCGGACGGGUGAGGAAUACAUCGGAAUCUACUUUUUCGUGGGUGAUAACGUAGGGAAACUUACGCUAAUACCGCAUACGACCUACGGGUGAAAGCAGGGGAUCUUCGGACCUUGCGCUCUUGAAUGAGCCGAUGUCGGAUUAGCUAGUUGGCGGGGUAAAGGCCCACCAAGGCGACGAUCCGUAGCUGGUCUGAGAGGAUGAUCAGCCACACUGGAACUGAGACACGGUCCAGACUCCUACGGGAGGCAGCAGUGGGGAAUAUGGGACAAUGGGCGCAAGCCUGAUCCAGCCAUACCGCGUGGGUGAAGAAGGCCUUCGGGUUGUAAAGCCCUUUUGUUGGGAAAGAAAAGUAGCAGGUUAAUACCCCGCUGUUCUGACGGUACCCAAAGAAUAAGCACCGGCUAACUUCGUG